ACUCUCUCCUCUCCCUCAAAAACUUUCGGCCAAACACCCCUUGAUCAUCCAUCAUAUUUUUCGAUUUUGUUCUUCACAUUCCAACAUCAUACAAGUGUCAAGUGUCACGCAUAAGAAGGCUUGGUACACUCGGAGAUCGAAGGACCUCAUCCUCUAGCUUUUAUCCACUUCAUUUGCGCUUAGAUUCCUCCCUAGCCUCGAGCUAGUGGUUACGACGUUAAUUAAGCAAAUCCGGUGAAGUUUACGACGCACAGGAACGCAAAGUUGUGAGUUCAUGCUCCCCCUUUUCUUUAACUGUUUUUGUUUUACACUUCGGGGGUGAAAUACAUGUCACAAAUUGAAUAUUGUUUGCAUAUGUCAUGAUGGGUACAAAAACAUUCAAGUGAAACAUUCCAGACCA
Long non-coding RNA from Helianthus annuus (common sunflower), 400 nucleotides. RefSeq lists it as uncharacterized. The record is from RefSeq and is a predicted model, not a curated record. The transcript is spliced from 2 exons. Lineage: Eukaryota; Viridiplantae; Streptophyta; Magnoliopsida; Asterales; Asteraceae.